AGAGUUUGAUCCUGGCUCAGGAUGAACGCUGGCGGCGUGCUUAACACAUGCAAGUCGGACGAACCUUCGGGUUAGUGGCGGACGGGUGAGUAACGCGUGAGAAUCUGCCCUCAGGAGGGGGAUAACAGUUGGAAACGACUGCUAAUACCCCAUAUGCCGAGAGGUGAAAUGAAUUUCGCCUGGGGAUGAGCUCGCGUCUGAUUAGCUUGUUGGUGGGGUAAUAGCCUACCAAGGCUUCGAUCAGUAGCUGGUCUGAGAGGACGAUCAGCCACACUGGGACUGAGACACGGCCCAGACUCCUACGGGAGGCAGCAGUGGGGAAUUUUCCGCAAUGGGCGAAAGCCUGACGGAGCAACGCCGCGUGAGGGAUGGAGGCCUUUGGGCUGUAAACCUCUUUUCUCAAGGAAGAAGAUCUGACGGUACUUGAGGAAUAAGCCACGGCUAAUUCCGUGCCAGCAGCCGCGGUAAUACGGGAGUGGCAAGCGUUAUCCGGAAUUAUUGGGCGUAAAGCGUCCGCAGGCGGCCGUUUAAGUCUGUUGUUAAAUCGUGGAGCUCAACUCCAUCACGGCAAUGGAAACUGUUCGGCUUGAGUAUGGUAGGGGCAGAGGGAAUUUCCGGUGUAGCGGUGAAAUGCGUAGAUAUCGGGAAGAACACCAGUGGCGAAAGCGCUCUGCUGGGCCAUUACUGACGCUCAUGGACGAAAGCCAGGGGAGCGAAAGGGAUUAGAUACCCCUGUAGUCCUGGCCGUAAACGAUGAACACUAGAUGUUGGGGGAAUCGACCCCCUCGGUGUCGUAGCUAACGCGUUAAGUGUUCCGCCUGGGGAGUACGCACGCAAGUGUGAAACUCAAAGGAAUUGACGGGGGCCCGCGCAAGCGGUGGAGUAUGUGGUUUAAUUCGAUGCAACGCGAAGAACCUUACCAAGGCUUGACAUCCUGCGAAUCUCUAAGAAAUUAGAGAGUGCCUUCGGGAGCGCAGUGACAGGUGGUGCAUGGCUGUCGUCAGCUCGUGUCGUGGGAUGUUGGGUUAAGCCCCGCAACGAGCGCAACCCACGUUUUUAGUUGCCAGCAUUCAGUUGGGCACUCUAGAAAGACUGCCGGUGACAAACCGGAGGAAGGUGUGGACGACGUCAAGUCAUCAUGCCCCUUACGCCUUGGGCUACACACGUACUACAAUGCUGCGGACAAAGAGUAGCGAUCUUGCGAAAGUUAGCUAAUCUCAUAAACCGUGGCUCAGUUCAGAUCGUAGGCUGCAACUCGCCUACGUGAAGGAGGAAUCGCUAGUAAUCGCAGGUCAGCAUACUGCGGUGAAUACGUUCCCGGGCCUUGUACACACCGCCCGUCACACCAUGGAAGUUGGCCAUGCCCGAAGUCGUUACUCUAACCUUUUGGAAGAGGGCGCCGAAGGCAGGGCUAAUGACUGGGGUGAAGUCGUAACAAGGUAACC
Molecule: ribosomal RNA, 1445 nt
Filed under: uncultured bacterium
Lineage: Bacteria
Description: bacterial SSU rRNA
Rfam family: Bacterial small subunit ribosomal RNA
Source: RNAcentral